CUAUCUAGAACUCGGGUCAAAUUUUCGUCGGAUCCGGGGUUUUACUCGAAGGUUUAUUCAAAACCCUUUUGAUGUUUGAUUUACCCCAAAUCAAUUCCCUCGCCCUUCAAAUUCAAACAGCUAGUGUGUGUAAAUUGGUUUCUGGAGUGUUUCGAUUCUCGUUCUUGAACUUAUCGAAUCACUGAAGCCCUAUGCGAACACAACUGUUGUUGGAAUGAAGUGAUAUGAAGUUGCUAAUAUGAGCGAUGGAGGAGGUGGAGAGAGUGUAAAAGAAAUUGAAUCUUGUUUGAAGAAAAGGAGGAAGCAUGAUGAAUUUGCACAGGCGAUUGCUAGAAUUGCAGUGGCCCAAGUAUGUGAGGGUGUAGGAUUUCAAGGUUUUCAACAGUCUGCACUUGAUAGAUUAUCUGAUGUUGCUUGCAAAUAUAUCCUGGAGAUAGGGAAAACAUCGAAGUUCUAUGCUAAUUUAGCUGGCAGGACAGAAUGUAAUGUGUUUGAUAUAGUUCAAGGGUUGGAAGAUUUGAGUCUGCCGCAGGGGUUUGUAGGAGCAUCUGACAGAGAUCAUUGUUUAUCAGGGUCAGGGUUAAUCAAAGAGAUUUCGCAGUAUGUUAGUUUGUCUGAAGAAAUAGGGUUCGCUUACUCGGUUCCUUCUUUUCCAGUAAUUAAAGAGCGAAACUCAACACCAAGUUUCUUGCAAGCUGGAGAAACACCACCAACGGAUGCUAUCCCCCCUUGGCUACCGAGGUUUCCUGAUCCCAAGACGUAUACGUAUAGUAGCAUGCCUUCAGCCGAUAUGGAAGAAACCCAAAUGAGACCCGAUAGAAUUGAGCAAGAACACAAGGUCCUUGAGCCACCAUCAUCAAGAUUGGAGCAGCUUUGGGCAUGUAGCGAGUCUGAAUUGCCGUUGGUUAUUGACCAGGGAGAUAAUGUCGGAAGGGAGCGAGGGAGUAAUCCUUUUCUUAAUACGCCUCUACAGCCUGGAGAGAAGGAGAUUUCUCUGGUUUCUCUUCCUGCUAAACUCAAGGAAGAAGACAUGGUGCAAAAUCAUGGGUUAUGGGCAAAUCAUGUUUCUGCAUUGAAUACAUUUGGUCCAGCAAAUCAAGCAGUUAAGAGCUGUGGGUGUGAUGCUGAGGAAGGCAGUCGAAAGGUUCUUUUGAAUAACAGACCUGCAUUGCAAAUGAAGUUUCACAUUGGCAAAAAGUCGUUGGAUAUUGCAAAUAGACACAACUACAAAGGAAAAGAAGAAGUUGCGUCUUGGUUUGUGAAUGAUGAUGUUGGGGAUGCUAAAGAAAAGAGAACAGAGAAACUUCCAAGGGAGCCGAUGGAUAUUGAAGAGCAUACUGGAAAUGAUUCAGUUGUAAAUUAGGAACACUAGAUUAGGGUUUGUAUACUAGUUUGGAAUCCUAGCAGCAUGUGCUAGCUCCGGAGUAGUCAAAGUCGGGGGAAUAUAUCUAGUAGAGGGGGAUGUUCCCACAUUAACAGGUUCUCUGAGGACGUUAUCCGGGCUAAUUACGCAAGGAAAUAGAACCCAGAUACAUGUUAAGGUCGAUCUUCUGUAUGACUAUUUUCACACAUGGAAUGCAGCUGUGUGGUAUGUACUUUAGGAUAACAUGUACAUACAUCAAUCAAAUACUAAGAUGGAAACAAAUAGAAGCUCUUCGCUCUUCUUUUUAUGGGUUCUUUAUUUCGAUUCUUGCAUCUUUUAUGCAUGACCAUAGUUAGUAACAUCAUAUGAGUCGAUUCCCAUUUGGCAAAAUGUCAUUAUAGACUAUAGAGAGCGUCUCAAAUUAAGGUUUUGUAGAAUUAGCGGAUUCAUUUUUUGAUAUUAUAUUGCUUAUAAGUUCAUAGCUAAGUUCUCUUUUCUGAAGCUCAUUGAAGGGUUGCGC
RNA transcript from Cynara cardunculus var. scolymus (artichoke), 1883 nucleotides. It is a transcript of the gene named transcription initiation factor TFIID subunit 8-like, with no coding region annotated. The transcript is spliced from 3 exons. The record is from RefSeq and is a predicted model, not a curated record. Lineage: Eukaryota; Viridiplantae; Streptophyta; Magnoliopsida; Asterales; Asteraceae.